Molecule: non-coding RNA, 809 nt
Filed under: Pongo abelii (Sumatran orangutan)
Lineage: Eukaryota; Metazoa; Chordata; Mammalia; Primates; Hominidae
Source: RNAcentral
CCAAGAAACACUCUGCAAAUGAAAAGGGUGGAAGAGUAAACUGUUCCCGUUUCUCCAAAUUGACAGGAAGCAGAAGUUCUCCUUAGCUGAUUUUUCUUCUUGCCUUAUACUGGGUUCUUUAACACCAGAACAAAAAUAAAUAAAUAAAAGAAUCUUCCAGAAAUUCAUGAAGAGACUUCAGGUCAGGAAAGCCUGAACUUUCUCAUCUAACACCUGUUCAAGUCGGAGGAUGCUGAUUAAUUCAUGAUGGAAAGGUAUCAAUUUCACAGCCCAGACUUCUACAUUCUUGAAAUGCUGUUCUCAUGGGAGACAUUAAAUAAGCUUUGAAAUAACUUUCACUCCUAAACCCAUUGUGAUUUGAUUCUUCACCUGUUACACUCUGUGCCAUGACACCCAGGAUGCAGCUGUAGGAACACCACUGGGUCCCUGGAUAUCAUGUAAGCCCUUAAGUAAAGGUGCCAUCAAAUGAUUUCUCAGAAAUUAUAAAGAAACAAAAGGACCAUAAACAAGAUAAGGUGGCACGAGGAAACACUAAAAGUACCUUUCAGAGCUGACUGGCAAAGAAACUCCUGAGGUGAUGGUUCUACCCCAAUAUUACUUCUUCCAAGAGCAACCUAACUGGACUUAUCUUCCUCAGUUCCCUGUGGGGAACUUUUGUAGAGCCACACGAAAGGAGGUUUUUAGCUCUCACCUAUGGUCUUCAUCAUGCACCUCCUAGAUUCAAAAGUUCAGCAGGGGCAUGUCAAGCUAUAUAAAUAAAAACAAACUAAGACAAAAAUGUAACAUUCCAUACCUUAAAAUGCAACCUU